UUUUUAGGAUUGGUAGUAUCUCAAAUCAAUCAAGUUUUCAGUUCAAGGAUUGAAGUUCAAGUGUCGCCGGAGGCCUAUGCUGAAAUUCGACGGAUGCACCAAGGUCUCUGUGAUGAGAUAUAUCAGAGGGCUGAGCAGAUGUGCUCCAGGGAUGGGAAAGUUGCCUUUGAUGAGGCAAGUUGGUUCUCAGACGGAGCAAAUCAAUUCUCAAAGGAAGCAAAUUUCCAAUUAGGCCGCACAUAUUAAGGACCUUACAGCGCAAUUAGCAAAGCUACAAUCGGUGCCUGAUGCUUCCUUGAUGUUUUCCAUGGAUGGCUCUGAGUAUGACAUAGAUGAGGAUGUUGAUCCUUAAAGAUCUGUUCUGUUGUUCCUACAAGACACAAAUGUUGUUUUUUUCUUUUUCUUUUUCCCUCCCUAUGUUCAUCAUCAUUUUUUUUUGUUUUUACCUUUUGUAUUUCCAGGAUUGGCAUUUUAUUUUAGAAUGAAAACUUAUCUUUUAGCA
Molecule: long non-coding RNA, 502 nt
Organism: Macadamia integrifolia
Lineage: Eukaryota; Viridiplantae; Streptophyta; Magnoliopsida; Proteales; Proteaceae
Exons: 3
Source: RefSeq, a predicted model, not a curated record